AAGCGGUGGAGGAUGUGGCUUAAUUCGAGGCUACGCGAAGAACCUUAUCCUAGUCUUGACAUGCACGGAUUAACCCCUGGAAACAGGGGCCACGCCUUCGGGUGGAACGUGCACAGGUGCUGCAUGGCUGUCGUCAGCUCGUGUCGUGAGAUGUCGGGUUAAGUCCCUUAACGAGCGAAACCCUUGUCACUAGUUACCAGCGCGUCAUGGCGGGGACUCUAGUGAGACUGCCGGUGUUAAACCGGAGGAAGGUGGGGAUG
This 260-nucleotide ribosomal RNA is filed under the name uncultured Planctomycetota bacterium. RNAcentral's name for it is "uncultured planctomycete partial 16S ribosomal RNA". It matches the Rfam family "Bacterial small subunit ribosomal RNA", at positions 927 to 1181 of the family's 1533-position model. Lineage: Bacteria; Pseudomonadati; Planctomycetota. The record is from RNAcentral.